GUUAGUCUCAGCAGGGCGCUUGCGGUGGGAAUCGGCAGCUCUCUCGGAGGACACGGACACGCAUACAGCUCAUUCACAAGUGGCGCCAGUCUGAUUUGGGGACUGCCUGCUUCUCACCCUUUCCUGUCACCGGUGUAAAAUUUUCUUCCUGGAAGCCAGAGGGGCCACAACAGAAAAUGUUCCAGGUGGUACAUCCUUGCCCACAUGUUCCAUGACGAUGUUGGGAAGAGGAUAAAUUGGAAAGGGAUCACUAUGCAACACUCUAUGCCAGAUGGCAUUGGAGAUGUUGCUCCUGUGUAAGUAAUUGUAAUAUAUAUUUAAAACAAUCUGAAUUCACACAGCAGGCUUACAAAGUGUUCAAACUGGCAUUAGCACUACUUUAAAUAAACACAACCAUGCUUAUUAAUCGACGCAGGGGGUUUCAGAAAACAUUGCAGGGUCUGUUGGCUAAAAAAUUGACAACACAACACAGCAUCUGGCAAAGAACUGAAUUGCCAAGAUACACAUUACUACUACUAAUACACAUUUCUGGUAGACUCUGAAACUUGACUGUUAAAUUAUGAUUUUUGUUGUGAAGCAAGAUAAAAUAACUUUUGGUGCCUUACUUUCCAGAGUUGUUAUAUAGUUUCUCAUAAUAUUAUAAACAGUUAUACAGUGUUUUGACAUCUAACAAGCCUUAAAACGCAUGGAUCUUUUACUCCAACCAGCCUUCCUGGGUGAUAUUUCAUGGUCUAAUCGGCACAUGAGGACAUGCCUCCACCAAGUUUUUUGAACGCAGUGCUGUUUUCGGUCUGAACACUGUCUUAAUCUCCAGAAAAUACCUUGUUUGUUUAAUGUGUACAAAAGCUGAAGUGCUUUCCUGAUGUGUCUGCUGGUUCCAGGUCGUGGCCAAUAUAUAGUUAAUUACAUAACCACUUGUUAUAAUUUGUUUUUUGUUUAGAAUAAACUACUGUGAAUAACAUAUAAAGUGAAUUCUACUGACCAAGACCGAGAGACCAAUUAAAGGCUCAGGAACCCUUUGCAGGUGUUUUGGAUUAAU
Long non-coding RNA from Micropterus salmoides (largemouth bass), 1039 nucleotides. RefSeq lists it as uncharacterized. NCBI's taxonomy places the organism in Eukaryota, Metazoa, Chordata, Actinopteri, Centrarchiformes, Centrarchidae. The transcript is spliced from 3 exons. The record is from RefSeq and is a predicted model, not a curated record.